UAAUACGAAAGGUGCAAGCGUUACUCGGAAUCACUGGGCGUAAAGCGCACGUAGGCGGACUUACAGGUCAAUUGUGAAAUACCUGGGCUCAACCCAGGAACUGCAGUUGAAACCGUCUGUCUUGAAUAUCUGAGAGGGUGGGGGAAUACCUGGUGGAGAAGUGAAAUUCGUAGAGAUCAGGUGGAACACCGGAGGCGAAGGCGCCUGCCUGGCAGAAUAUUGACGCUGAGGUGCGAAAGUGCGGGGAGCAAACAGGAUUAGAUACCCUGGUAGUCCGCACCGUAAACGAUGGAUACUAGGCGUUCGGAGAGUUAACCCUCUGAGUGCCAAAGUUCACACAUUAAGUAUCCCGCCUGGGAAGUACGGUCGCAAGACUA
RNAcentral lists this ribosomal RNA (377 nucleotides) under uncultured bacterium. Its description in RNAcentral is "bacterial SSU rRNA". It matches the Rfam family "Bacterial small subunit ribosomal RNA", at positions 521 to 896 of the family's 1533-position model. The record is from RNAcentral.